Doryrhamphus excisus (bluestripe pipefish) is the source of this 1421-nucleotide non-coding RNA. The record is from RefSeq and is a predicted model, not a curated record. NCBI's taxonomy places the organism in Eukaryota, Metazoa, Chordata, Actinopteri, Syngnathiformes, Syngnathidae.
AGCCCACUCAGAAGUCAGGAUGUGUUUUUUUUUUCCCCUCCCAUUGCUAGCACAAGGAAUUGAGCAUCAAAAGGUUCAGAAGCGUCAGAUCUUGGACUAACACUGACCUCCAUACGGACUGAAAAAGAAAUUACAGGCAAUAAAAGCUCCAGUGUUUUCACCAAAGCGACUGCUCGGCUGCACUGCCACAUCUGAUGCAUCAUCCCACUGCAACAGAGGAGAUGCUGGAUGAGCCAUUGAGUAUCACAGGGACAGAUUGUACGUUAAAACCAUUCGGACUGGCUGCCGCUUCUGGUUUUCGUACACUGGUUGAUAGCCGAGAGAUGGUGUGAAAGCAACACUUCCUGUUUGGAAUUACAAGGCACCAGUCGCAGCAGAUUCAGGAACAGUUCUAUGUGAUCUGUGAUUGGCUGGCGACCAGUCCAAGGUGUCCCCCACCUCUUGUCUGAAAACAGCUGGGAUAGGCUCCAGCACCCCCGUGACUGAAUGAAUGAAGUUUAGCUUCAAAGCCCUGGUAGAUGGCUUUCUUCUCGAUAAGAGUCAAGUAAUUUAUAUCUACUAUUGUUGUGGGUUUACUACGUUGACUCUGAAAUGUCAAGUGAAGAAAGAGAGCGUACUGGAGUACUACAAAAAUUGUCCUUUUUGGUUUUAAUUAUUAGCCGUACAAAGUAAAUGCAAUGCAAUUCAUGAAGGAGAUGUCAAAAAAUAAUGUUAUAAUGUAUCUUAAUUGGGAUAUCUGUCAAACGAGUACAUACUUUGCAUGCAGAACUCAUGAUAACCAACAGAAAAUAUGAUGGAUUACAUCUAGUAAGUGGCAAUUCCAUAACAGUCAUGACAUUUUGCUGGCUUUUUGUGAGUUCUUCCUCCAGAGGUAUUCUCUUGAAUUGAAUUUACAUGCAGGCUUUGCAGUAAUUAUCUCAGAAAGAGAGAGAGAGAGAGAGUGAGAGAGAGAAAGAGAGAGAGAGAGCGCUUUAAUUGGAUAUUUGGCCCCUCUGGAUGUGGACUGAACCAUGCAGCAGCAUCAUUAGAAUCUCUCAUCAGGCUCUAAUUUGAGCCCUGAAUGGCCACUCCCCACUGUGCUCCACACACUUGAAAAUGCAGGAAGUCUCAGAUAAAAUAUUUUAUUGUACAGCUGCUGUUUUUAUUAGUAACGUACUUUUUUUUUGGGUCACAUUCCGGGUUUUGGUGUAUUCAAUCAUAAUCAUUUACUAUUGAGUCAAACCAUAUUGUAUCAUUAGCGUUCCUACAGACUUACACAUACUGUAUACUGUAAAUACAACAGCAGGACUGAAUACACCCACACCUAUGUUGUCCAUACAUAUAUAAACAAUUAAAUUACCCCCAGCGGUUGUCCUACUUAUUGCCAAACAAAGCGAGCUGUAAGGACGAUUCUCGCUGCUGGUUGCAGACGACGCGGAUCA